RNAcentral lists this ribosomal RNA (279 nucleotides) under uncultured bacterium. Its description in RNAcentral is "partial 16S ribosomal RNA". It matches the Rfam family "Bacterial small subunit ribosomal RNA", at positions 506 to 784 of the family's 1533-position model. The record is from RNAcentral.
UGCCAGCAGCCGCGGUAAUACGGGGGGGACAAGCGUUGUUCGGAUUUACUGGGCGUAAAGGGCGUGUAGGCGGACCUUCAAGUCGGGUGUGAAAACUGGCGGCUCAACUGCCAGCCUGCAUUCGAUACUGUUGGUCUUGAGUACAGGAGAGGAAAGCGGAAUUCCAGGUGUAGCGGUGAAAUGCGUAGAUAUCUGGAAGAACACCAGUAGCGAAGGCGGCUUUCUGGACUGAUACUGACGCUAAAGCGCGAAGGCUUGGGUAGCAAACAGGAUUAGAUA